UACGUAGGUGGCAAGCGUUGUCCGGAUUUACUGGGCGUAAAGGGCGUGCAGGCGGUCUGUUAAGUGCAGGGUGAAAGCUCCCGGCUCAACUGGGAGAGGUCCUUGCAUACUGGCGGACUUGAGGGGGGUAGAGGAAAGUGGAAUUCCCGGUGUAGUGGUGAUAUGCGUAGAUAUCGGGAGGAACACCUGUGGCGAAGGCGGCUUUCUGGGCCCUACCUGACGCUGAGACGCGAAGGCGUGGGGAGCGAACCGG
This 253-nucleotide ribosomal RNA is filed under the name uncultured bacterium. RNAcentral describes it as "partial 16S ribosomal RNA". It matches the Rfam family "Bacterial small subunit ribosomal RNA", at positions 524 to 776 of the family's 1533-position model. The record is from RNAcentral.